This 64-nucleotide transfer RNA is filed under the name Tenebrio obscurus (dark mealworm). RNAcentral's name for it is "tRNA-Arg". The record is from RNAcentral. Lineage: Eukaryota; Metazoa; Arthropoda; Insecta; Coleoptera; Tenebrionidae.
AAAUAAGAAGCAAAUUAAAUGCGUUUAGUUUCGACCUAAAAAUUUGACUAAUAGUCCUUAUUUU